Molecule: ribosomal RNA, 892 nt
Filed under: uncultured bacterium
Lineage: Bacteria
Description: bacterial SSU rRNA
Rfam family: Bacterial small subunit ribosomal RNA
Source: RNAcentral
GUGCCAGCAGCCGCGGUAAUACGUAGGUGGCAAGCGUUGUCCGGAUUUAUUGGGCGUAAAGCGAGCGCAGGCGGUUUCUUAAGUCUGAUGUGAAAGCCUUCGGCUCAACCGAAGAAGUGCAUCGGAAACUGGGAAACUUGAGUGCGGAAGAGGACAGUGGAACUCCAUGUGUAGCGGUGAAAUGCGUAGAUAUAUGGAAGAACACCAGUGGCGAAGGCGGCUGUCUGGUCUGUAACUGACGCUGAGGCUCGAAAGCAUGGGUAGCAAACAGGAUUAGAUACCCUGGUAGUCCAUGCCGUAAACGAUGAGUGCUAGGUGUUGGAGGGUUUCCGCCCUUCAGUGCCGCAGCUAACGCAUUAAGCACUCCGCCUGGGGAGUACGACCGCAAGGUUGAAACUCAAAGGAAUUGACGGGGGCCCGCACAAGCGGUGGAGCAUGUGGUUUAAUUCGAAGCAACGCGAAGAACCUUACCAGGUCUUGACAUCCUUUGACCACUCUAGAGAUAGAGCUUUCCCUUCGGGGACAAAGUGACAGGUGGUGCAUGGUUGUCGUCAGCUCGUGUCGUGAGAUGUUGGGUUAAGUCCCGCAACGAGCGCAACCCUUAUUACUAGUUGCCAGCAUUAAGUUGGGCACUCUAGUGAGACUGCCGGUGACAAACCGGAGGAAGGUGGGGACGACGUCAAAUCAUCAUGCCCCUUAUGACCUGGGCUACACACGUGCUACAAUGGAUGGUACAACGAGUUGCGAGACCGCGAGGUUUAGCUAAUCUCUUAAAACCAUUCUCAGUUCGGAUUGUAGGCUGCAACUCGCCUACAUGAAGCCGGAAUCGCUAGUAAUCGCGGAUCAGCAUGCCGCGGUGAAUACGUUCCCGGGCCUUGUACACACCGCCCGU